RNAcentral lists this unclassified non-coding RNA (339 nucleotides) under soil metagenome. RNAcentral describes it as "partial contains 5.8S ribosomal RNA, internal transcribed spacer 2, and large subunit ribosomal RNA". The stretch from base 1 to 120 matches the Rfam family "5.8S ribosomal RNA", at positions 35 to 154 of the family's 154-position model. The record is from RNAcentral.
GAUGAAGAACGUAGCGAAAUGCGAUAAGUAGUGUGAAUUGCAGAAUUCAGUGAAUCAUCGAAUCUUUGAACGCACAUUGCGCCCCUCGGUAUUCCGUGGGGCAUGUCUGUUCGAGCGUCAUUUAACCCCUCAAGCCCAGCUUGGUAUUGGGUGCUUGUCCCGCCUCUCGCGCGGCGACUCACCUCAAAGUCAUUGGCAGCCCGCAUCUCGCCGGCCGUGAGCGCAGCACAGACGCGCUCUUGGCAACGACGGAUCGGCUCUCCAAAAGCUUAUUUCAACCACUGACCUCGGAUCAGGUAGGGAUACCCGCUGAACUUAAGCAUAUCAAUAAGCGGAGGA